UUGCUCGUCAGUGCUCUGUAGAUUGUUUAAAGCAUGUCUUACGUUUUGUUAGUUACACAGUGUUAAAUUAUUUGUGGCAAAAUUAAUGUUUUUAUAAACCUAUUUUUGCGAUUUAUUAAGUAAAUAACUAAUGAAUCACACCAACGAAAGUAGAUUCUGUGAUUCACGUUUUUGGGAUCUAGAACAGACGUGGAACACUCCAGAUCCUCAAUUCUCUCCAUGCUUCGAGCAGACUGUCUUGGUCUGGGCCCCAUGCCUGUUUUUAUGGGUUCUUGCUCCCUUCGAGGCCAUCGUCAUCGUAAAGAGCAAGUGUCGAGAUUUACCAUGGGGAUUCACAAACACUACCAAACUGUUGCUGAACCUGGUGCUGAUAGCUAUUAGUGCAGUUACCUUCAUCAUGUCAGUAGUCCAAUACAUGGAAGGAAAGAAGUUGUAUCCUGGUGAGCUGUGGACUCAUGCGGUUAAAACAAUUACCUUUGUGUUGGCUGCAGUUAUCUUGGUCUGGGACAGAGUGCGGGGAGUUCACACCUCGGGAGGACUGUUUGUGUUCUGGCUGGUGCUCAGUGUGGCUGGGGUGUUCCAGUUCAGGACAGAACUGCGGCAAGCUGGGAAUACAGAAGAACCUCGCUACAAAUUUAUUCUCUACAUGGUAUACUACCCUAUAGUUCUUCUGAUGUUGAUUCUGAAUGUAUUUGCUGACCCACCACCUAGAGUUACCGACCGGCGAAAGACCGAAAACCCCUACCCAGCGGAUAAUGCCUCAUUUUUAUCUUUGUGCUUCUUCAGCUGGUUUAGUCCUCUCAUAUGGCAGGGUUACAAAAAACCUCUAACUCUGGAAAACCUGUGGAACUUGAGAUACCAUGAUACUUCCGCUUACGUUGUCGCAAAAUUUGAGAAACAGUGGAAUAAACUUCAGAAACAAAGUAUUAAGUUUUCUACUAGAGAGAGACAGAAUCAAUUGAAUGGAAUACUGAAGAAUCGAAGCAACAAACCAAAGAAGCCAGUUUCAGUCAUUGGAACCAUGUUCAGAACAUAUUGGAUACCCAUGGUUAGCGGAGCAUUGCUGAAGAUUGUAUCAGACGCCUUAGCGCUUCUGAGUCCUUAUCUUUUGUAUUUAAUGAUAAAGUUUGUGGAGAGCAAGGAUUACAUGUGGAAAGGUAUCCUGUACGCAAUCUGCAUAUUCGUAGCUUCCGAAAUGCAAACGUUAUGCCUACAUCACAGCGGUGACAUAAUGUACAACUUUGGUGUGAACUGGAGGACAACUAUCAUGUCUGCCAUUUAUAAAAAGGCUCUUCGUAUCUCCAGCUUUGCCAGGAAGACCAGAUCCUUCGGUGAGAUAGUGAACGUGAUGGCGGUGGAUGCCCAACGGUUGGUCGACACUAGUGCAUUCUUGCACCUCACUUGGAUCAAUUCCUUGUCAAUCAUAGCCUGCCUGUGCUUCCUGUGGAACAUACUAGGAGUGGCUACAUUAGCGGGCGUGGCUGUCUUGGUCAUUCUGAUCCCAAUAAACAUUGUGAUCACCAGCAGGGUGCGGACACUGCACUUGAGACAAAUGAAACACAAAGACGAGAGGGUCAAAUCUGUCAGCGAAGUUCUCAGUGGCAUUAAGGUUUUAAAGAUGUACGCCUGGGAGCAAAGCUUCAGAAAAUCAAUCCUAAACAUUAGAGAUAAAGAGUUAUCACUAUUGAGGACAGCAGCUUUGUUGAACGCAUCCACUUCAUUCUUAUCACUUUGUUCUUCGUUCCUGGUUUCUUUGGCAUCAUUUUGUGUUUUUGUCUUGAUUGAUGAACGUAAUGUGUUGACACCAGAGACUGCCUUUGUCUCCAUGGCUGUCUUCAACAUCAUGAAAAUUCCUCUCUAUUACUUGCCAACAAUGGUGGAGUUUAAUAUUCAGUUUUUUGUGGCUACCAAGAGAAUAAACAAUUUUUUGAAUGCUGAUGAGUUGGAUUUUACAUCAGUUUCUCACGACACAAGCAGAAAGGAAUCACUUAUCAUAGAAGAUGGGACAUUCUCGUGGGGCUGUGACAAGGAUGACAAGCCUAUUCUCCGCAGCAUCACAUUGAAGAUACAGCCUGGACAGUUGGUAGCAGUGGUGGGACCAGUUGGUGCCGGCAAAUCCUCGCUCUUGUCUGCCUUCCUGGGAGAAAUGGUCAAGAACUCUGGAUUUGUUAACACGAAGGGAAAUAUAGCUUACGUUCCACAACAGGCUUGGAUACAAAAUGCAUCUGUGAGAGAGAACAUUUCUUUUGGUAAAAGUUUUGACGAGAUAAAAUACAAUAAGACAGUGAAGAAUUGUGCUUUGACACCAGACUUGGAGAUAUUGCCUGGAGGAGAUGCUACUGAGAUAGGAGAAAAGGGUAUCAACCUGAGUGGAGGACAGAAGCAGAGAGUGAGUCUGGCACGAGCAGUGUACAGUGACGCAGAUAUCUAUCUGAUGGAUGAUCCACUCAGUGCGGUUGACUCUCAUGUUGGCAAACACAUAUUCGAUAAUGUCGUUGGCCCUAGGGGACAGCUGCACAAGAAGACUCGCAUCCUGGUGACUCAUGGAAUAGCGUUCCUGCCCCAAGUAGAUAUGAUUGUGGUGAUGAAAGGAGGAGAGAUCUUGGAGAGAGGCACCUUCAAGGAGCUGUUGAACAAGAAAGGAGAGUUCUCGGAAUUUCUGAUACAACACUUGGUGGAAACUAAUCAACCUGAGCUGAUUCCAGAAAUUGAUGAACUUGUUGAUAAAGAGGUAACUCAUUCAGUUGAAAGACGAAUUAGUAAGAGUGAUUCCGUGAAGACCAGUCCCUCUGUUAGCAAGGUUAAUGCCUCACGCAAACUCUCAAUCACAGAAAAGACCGAAGAAGAAACUCAAUCAGAUAUGAAUUCCACUGUGGGAACCAAAGCCCAAACUGCAUGUGGAGAUCCCACUCUACAUGAGCUGGAAGAGGUAGAGAAGAUGAUGUCAUAUCAGAUCAAGGAGACAGAAAUUGUUGAGAACGGACAGACAACAGGCUUAAUAUGCACAGAAAUUGACCAAAACAGCAAAGAUUCCGAAAUGGACACUUUGCUGAGGAAACCCCAAGAAUCAGAGAGAAACGUUGAGAGGACAUAUUCAUUAUCAGCAAUAGACAGAAAGUCUGAUUCUCAGCAUGAAGAGAAACAAACCAAACUGAUCCAAGCAGAGGUGGCUCAAACUGGUAGAGUGAAGAGAGGAGUAUACCUGCACUACUGCAAGUGUAUGGGAGUAUGGCUAGUGGUGGGGACAUUCAGUCUCUCCCUACUCUCCCAGGCCGGUGCUAUCCUCGCCAACAUCUGGCUGUCGCGCUGGACCUCGGACCAGUCAGCCACUGUCAACGGUACUCAGGUUCUGGACAAACGCAACUUCUACCUGCAGAUGUACUUUACCUUCGGUCUUGCACAAGUUGUCGCAGUAGUAGCGAGUACAUCAUUGUUGGCAAUUGCUACCGUCCUGGGUGCUCAGCACCUUCAUGAGUCGAUGCUGUCAAACAUCCUGCAUUGUCCCAUGAGCUUCUUUGACACAACGCCGAUAGGAAGGAUUGUCAACCGUCUCAGCAAAGACAUUGAUGUUGUCGAUAACAUGCUUCCCAAGAACUUGAGAAUGGCUCAAGAUGCUCUUGUGACAGUUUUAGGAACACUUGUGGUUAUCUUUUGGUCAACUCCACUGUUUGCCUUAGUGUUUGUUCCUAUUGGAUUUCUCUAUUAUUUUGUACAGAAGAUUUAUGUGACUACAUCUCGUCAAAUAAAGAGGAUCGAGUCAGUGACAAGGUCUCCCAUCUACUCUCACUUCAGCGAGACUUUGUCAGGAGUUACAUCAAUACGUGCUUACAAGGUGGAACAGCGUUUCAUAAAAGAACUACAAGAUAAGGUGGACACCAAUCAAGUCUGCUUCAUUCCCUCCUUCAGGUCCAGCAGCUUUUUUUGCUGUAUUAGGCAGAGAUUCUCUGGACCCAGGAAUCGUGGGACUUUCUGUUAGUUAUGCUUUACAGAUAACUUUUGUUAUGAAUGCUGCUGUGAAAAUGUCUUCAGAAAUAGAGACAAGCAUUGUUUCUGUGGAGAGGAUAAAGGAGUAUACUGAACUUCCUCAGGAAGCCGCAUUGGUACUGGAGCCCCGUCCUAAACCAAAAUGGCC
RNAcentral lists this unclassified non-coding RNA (4132 nucleotides) under Homalodisca vitripennis (glassy-winged sharpshooter). Its description in RNAcentral is "multidrug resistance-associated protein 1-like, transcript variant X7". Lineage: Eukaryota; Metazoa; Arthropoda; Insecta; Hemiptera; Cicadellidae. The record is from RNAcentral.